GAUGAACGCUGGCGGCGUGCCUAAUACAUGCAAGUCGAGCGAACAGAUGAGGAGCUUGCUCCUCUGACGUUAGCGGCGGACGGGUGAGUAACACGUGGAUAACCUACCUAUAAGACUGGGAUAACUUCGGGAAACCGGCGCUAAUACCGGAUAAUAUAUUGAACCGCAUGGUUCAAUAGUGAAAUACGGUUUUGCUGUCACUUAUAGAUGGAUCCGCGCCGCAUUAGCUAGUUGGUAAGGUAACGGCUUACCAAGGCAACGAUGCGUAGCCGACCUGAGAGGGGGAUCGGCCACACGGGAACUGAGACACGGUCCAGACGCCUACGGGAGGCAGCAGUAGGGAAUCUUCCGCAAUGGGCGAAAGCCUGACGGAGCAGCGGCGCGUGAGUGAUGAAGGUCUUCGGAUCGUAAAACUCUGUUAUGAGGGAAGAACAAAUGUGUAAGUAACUAUGCACGUCUUGACGGUACCUAAUCAGAAAGCCACGGCUAACUACGUG
RNAcentral lists this ribosomal RNA (497 nucleotides) under uncultured bacterium. RNAcentral's name for it is "partial 16S ribosomal RNA". It matches the Rfam family "Bacterial small subunit ribosomal RNA", at positions 28 to 507 of the family's 1533-position model. The record is from RNAcentral.